UCUGGUUGAUCCUGCCGGACCCGACUGCUAUCAGAGUAGGACUAAGCCAUGCGAGUCAACGUAGCAAUACGUGGCAUACGGCUCAGUAACACGUAGUCAACAUGCCCAAAGGACGUGGAUAACCUCGGGAAACUGAGGAUAAACCGCGAUAGGUCAUGAUAUCUGGAAUGAUUCAUGGCUCAAAUCUAUAUGGCCUUUGGAUUGGACUGCGUCCGAUCAGGCUGUUGGUGAGGUAAUGGCCCACCAAACCUAUAACCGGUACGGGCUUUGAGAGGAGGAGCCCGGAGAUGGGCACUGAGACAAGGGCCCAGGCCCUAUGGGGCGCAGCAGGCGCGAAACCUCUGCAAUAGGCGAAAGCUUGACAGGGUUACUCUGAGUGAUCUCCGAUAAGGAGAUCUUUUGGCAUCUCUAAAAAUGAUGCAGAAUAAGGGGUGGGCAAGUCUGGUGUCAGCCGCCGCGGUAAUACCAGCACCCCGAGUGGUCGGGACGAUUAUUGGGCCUAAAGCAUCCGUAGCCGGUUCUGCAAGUCUUCCGUUAAAUCCAGCUGCUCAACAGAUGGGCUGCGGGAGAUACUACAGAGCUAGGAGGCGGGAGAGGCAAGCGGUACUCAGUGGGUAGGGGUAAAAUCCGUUGAUCCAUUGAAGACCACCAGUGGCGAAGGCGGCUUGCCAGAACGCGCUCGACGGUGAGGGAUGAAAGCUGGGGGAGCAAACCGGAUUAGAUACCCGGGUAGUCCCAGCUGUAAACGAUGCAGACUCGGUGAUGGAUUAGCUACAUGCUAAUCCAGUGCCGCAGGGAAACCGUUAAGUCUGCCGCCUGGGGAGUACGGUCGCAAGACUGAAACUUAAAGGAAUUGGCGGGGGAGCACCACAAGGGGUGAAGCCUGCGGUUCAAAUGGAUUCAACGCC
RNAcentral lists this ribosomal RNA (908 nucleotides) under uncultured archaeon. RNAcentral's name for it is "bacterial SSU rRNA". It matches the Rfam family "Archaeal small subunit ribosomal RNA", at positions 1 to 919 of the family's 1478-position model. The record is from RNAcentral.